This 311-nucleotide ribosomal RNA is filed under the name uncultured eukaryote. RNAcentral's name for it is "partial 18S ribosomal RNA". It matches the Rfam family "Eukaryotic small subunit ribosomal RNA", at positions 1470 to 1796 of the family's 1831-position model. The record is from RNAcentral.
CCCCUAGACGUUCUGGGCUGCACGCGCGCUACAAUAAUACGCACAGCGAGUAUCACCGAGCUCGAAAGGGCAAGGUAAACAAUAGAAAAGGUACUGUAAUGGUUAUAGAUCCUUGUAAUUAUUGAUCUUCAACGAGGAAUUCCUAGUAAGUAUGUGUCAUCAUCACGCACUGAUUACGUCCCUGCCCCUUGUACACACCGCCCGUCGCUCCUACCGAUUGGGUGAGCCGAUGAAACUCUCGGAUGUAGGCUAUUCAUAGCCCGCAGAAGAGAUUUGAAUCGUAGCGCUUAGAGGAAGGAGAAGUCGUAACA